Molecule: long non-coding RNA, 245 nt
Organism: Labrus mixtus (cuckoo wrasse)
Lineage: Eukaryota; Metazoa; Chordata; Actinopteri; Labriformes; Labridae
Exons: 3
Source: RefSeq, a predicted model, not a curated record
AGGAAGGGGAAGGGGAGGGUGAGGGAGGCGUUGGGAGAGCACAGCGGUGUCCCGGAGGGUGACGUGGGGUCUGCCAUGUUAGAUAUGAUGGGAGGAGUGGGGGUCAGAACCGUUCUUCAGCAGAAUCGUUACUUACUGAGCGGCUGCGCUGGAAAGCUGAGGACGGUCAGAGGGAGUGUGUGUGUGUGUGAGAGAGAGAAGAGAGGGGGAGUGAGUGUGGGACUGUGUGUGAUGUCGGUGUGUAU